AUGGGGUGGCGAGGGCGGUUAGGGCCUCCCGGGCCUCCGCGGACGCUCCUCCGGAAAUGCGAUGGGGCAGGCGGGCCGGCCCUCCUCCCUCCGGGGACGUGGCGCCCUGCGGGGCGGGGGUGGGCGCGCCCCCGCUUCCGGUUGGGUGACUUCAUUUCCGGGGUGGGUGGGGCGGGCUCGGAGCUGGGGCCGAGGCCAAGGCCGAGGCCCGGGGCUGCCUGGCACACGUGGCCUGUCCUCUGUGCCUGCUUCUCUCCGAGCCCGCUUCCCCCCGCACCGUCUGCGGCUUGCGGGUGGCGGCGGCCCCUCCCCUCCGGGGCUGCGCCCGAAUUGGUACCGGACGCUGGGACCAAGCAGAAGAACAAGAAGGCCUAGACAGUGGGAGUCAAGUGACUUGCCCAGGGUCACCCAGCCGGGAAGCUUCUAAGGUCAGAUCCAGAACAGGUCUGGGUAUCGGCUGUGUUUCUGCUGAACCCGUCCCACGUGCCCAGCUACCUGUUGGACAGCUCCAGCCGGAUGGGUCUGAGCUCAGCGGGCAGGGCCGGCCGCUCUUGGGUCACCCCAGAAGUCAGGACCUCCCUCUAGACCCGGGACUUCAUCUGUCUGUGGAACUCUUGGACAGGAAGCCCUCCCCCCACCGCUGCCGAGCAGAGGCCUGGAGAAGGCCCAGCUCUUGGAAAGCCACCGGCGCCAGCUCUGGGGUCCCACUGUCACUGGUCUUGCUGGACGUUCCCAAUUCCCACUGAAGCGGGCCCCAAGCACUGGGGGGUUUGCAGAGCCGCUGGAAGUGGCCUCAGAGUCGACACCUCUGACCCAGGCAGGACGGAGGCCGAGAUGGGCCUUGAGGUGGGCUCUGACCACUUCCCACCCCGCCUCUGCUCCCUCCAGGCCUCUCCCGGGUCCCCACAUGUCAGCCUCGGGAAGUCUGGUAAACCGAGAUCAGCUGUGUGAGGGGCUGGGCAUGGUUUUUGUUCUGUUCUACACCUGCUCGAGGGGUCCUUGACAAGGGGGAAGGGGAGCCGUCUGUAGAGCCGGCCCUCCUCCCUCCUCCCUCCUCCUCUUCCCUGUUGUGAUCGGCCUCAGGGAGGGAAGUGGAAGGUGACGGAGCAGAUCAGCAUCCAGGAACCUAAGAGGGGCCAACUGAUAAGCUCUGGUCGAGGCCAAAGUCCACCACCGGCUUUCCAGGCUCUUCCCCUUCCGGCCUCAGUGCCGAUGUUCACUGAGGCCAGCCUUCAGGAGGCUCGCACACACCCACCACCUUGUCCCUCCCCACACCUGAGCCACCCACAGCGCCAUCCCACCUUUGUUCCCAAGACCGAGCCAGAAGGGCCCCUUCAGAUCCCAGGAGAGACAGCGGGGCGCCUGCAGACAACAU
Molecule: long non-coding RNA, 1375 nt
Filed under: Monodelphis domestica (gray short-tailed opossum)
Lineage: Eukaryota; Metazoa; Chordata; Mammalia; Didelphimorphia; Didelphidae
Description: lncRNA (ENSMODG00000042684.1)
Source: RNAcentral